UCCAGCUCCAAUAGCGUAUAUUAAAGUUGUUGCAGUUAAAAAGCUCGUAGUUGGAUUUCGGAAGGUCCUUAGYAAUCCGCCCCUUCGGGGAGCGGGUUGCUGGCCUCCUAUGUUCCUAACGGYCCUCRUCCGCGAGGGYGGGGAAUCAACCGCUAGGAUCGUUUACUUUGAGGAAAUUAGAGUGUUCAAAGCAGGCGUAACUCGCCUCCGAAUACGUUAGCAUGGGAUAAUGGAAUACGACUUCGGUCUUGUUUCGUUGGUUUCGCUUGGCUGAAGUAAUGAUUGAUAGGGACAGUUGGGGGCAUUAGUAUUUAGUUGUCAGAGGUGAAAUUCUAGGAUUUACUAAAGACUGACCAAUGCGAAAGCAUUUGCCAAGGAUGUUUUCAUUAAUCAAGAACGAAAGUAGGGGGAUCGAAGACGAUCAGAUACCGUCGUAGUCUCUACCGUAAACUAUGCCGACCAGGGAUCCGGAGAGUUUGCAUGGAUGACUCCCCGGGCACCUUGUGAGAAAUCAUAAGUGUUUGGGUUUUGGGGGGAGUAUGGUCGCAAGGCUGAAACUAAAGGAAUGACGGAACGCCCCCMGGUGC
Molecule: ribosomal RNA, 587 nt
Filed under: uncultured eukaryote
Lineage: Eukaryota
Description: SSU rRNA
Rfam family: Eukaryotic small subunit ribosomal RNA
Source: RNAcentral